This 384-nucleotide ribosomal RNA is filed under the name uncultured bacterium. Its description in RNAcentral is "bacterial SSU rRNA". It matches the Rfam family "Bacterial small subunit ribosomal RNA", at positions 28 to 408 of the family's 1533-position model. The record is from RNAcentral.
GACGAACGCUGGCGGCGUGCUUAACACAUGCAAGUCGAGCGGUAGGGCCCUGCUUUGGUGGGGUACACGAGCGGCGAACGGGUGAGUAACACGUGGGUGACCUGCCCUCAGCUCUGGGAUAAGCUUGGGAAACUGGGUCUAAUACCGGAUAGGACUGCAUCUUGCAUGGGGUGUGGUGGAAAGUUUUUUCGGCUGGGGAUGGGCCUGCGGCCUAUCAGCUUGUUGGUGGGGUGANGGCUUACCAAGGCGACGACGGGUAGCCGGCCUGAGAGGGUGUUCGGCCACACUGGGACUGAGACACGGCCCAGACUCCUACGGGAGGCAGCAGGUGGGGAAUAUUGCGCAAGUGGGCGGAAGCCUGACGCAGCGACGCCGCGGUGGGGA